CCUUGAAAAUGAGGAAAGGAAAAAACUGAAAACGAAUUUUAACAUUCCCAACACUGUCACUAAAAUACUGAAAUGUUGAACCGGAAGUGAGGGGAGUGGGGAACUAUAAUAAGGUUACACACAAAGGCUCGACAUCCUCGUGGCAAAUUGAUUACUAUAAGGCGGCGAGAAAGAGGGUCGGGAGCUAUGGCUUUCCCGGAGCCAAAGCCUCGGGGCGCCGAGCUUCCGCGAAAACUGCUGAAGACGCUGGACUGCGGGCAGGGGGCAGUACGAGCCGUGAGGUUUAACGUGGAUGGCAAUUACUGCCUGACGUGCGGCAGCGACAAGACCCUGAAGCUGUGGAACCCGCUGCGGGGGACGCUGCUCCGUACCUACAGCGGCCACGGCUACGAGGUGCUGGACGCGGCCGGCUCCUUUGACAAUAGCAAUCUCUGCUCCGGCGGCGGGGACAAAGCCGUGGUGCUAUGGGAUGUGGCAUCCGGGCUGGUCGUGCGCAAAUUCCGGGGCCACGCGGGGAAGGUGAACACAGUGCAGUUUAACGAAGAGGCUACACUCAUACUGUCCGGCUCUAUCGAUUCCAGCAUCCGCUGCUGGGACUGCCGUUCUCGGAGGCCUGAGCCAGUGCAGACACUGGAUGAGGCCAGGGAUGGCAUAUCUAGUGUGAAGGUGUCAGAUCAUGAGGUCCUUGCAGGAUCUGUGGAUGGCCGCGUGAGGCGCUAUGACCUGAGGAAGGGGCAGCUCUUCUCUGACUACGUGGGCAGCCCCAUCACCUGCACCUGCUUCAGCCGGGAUGGGCAGUGCACACUGGUGUCCAGCCUGGACUCCACCCUGCGGCUUCUGGACAAGGACACCGGGGAGCUGCUGGGAGAGUACUCGGGCCACCAGAACAAGCAGUACAAGCUGGACUGCUGCCUGAGUGAGCGGGACACUCAUGUGGUCAGCUGCUCCGAGGACGGGAAGGUGUUCUUCUGGGACCUGGUGGAGGGUUCCCUGGCGCUGGCCCUGCCCGUGGGUGCGGGCGUUGUGCAGUCGCUGGCCUUCCACCCCACGGAGCCCUGCCUGCUGACCGCCACGGGGGGCAGGAUCCAGUGCUGGCGAGAAGAGGCCUACGAGGCAGAGGGCGGAGCAGGCUGAAGCCGGGGCGCCCGCCACCAGGUCCAGGGACCCAGACGAACUGCAAAGAUGCCAGAGACCGUUUAUUCCAGAGCUGCUGCAGGCCAAGGAGGGAGAGGGCAGCACCUGCAAACUAAUAAACAGGAAGGGUGGGCUUCCCGGGCGGCGUCCUCAGUCCUCGCUCUUCUCGCUCGUGAAAGCAUCUGCCUUCUGGGCAAAGGUCUCAGCCAUGAGCAGGGGGAAGACCAGGGAGGCGUCAGCAUAGACCUGCAGAGGGGACCCAGGCUGGCUCCAGGGAGAGUUCCAGUGAAGACACUCCAGAGCAGAUGGGAACCUGGGCCCUCUCCAGCUUGAGCGUGUGUGUGAAGAACAAUCUGGAAAGGGGAACCUCAGAGUCAGAUUCGCCCUGACACGACUCUUAGCCUCUUGUAGCACCUGCAGCAGAGCAGAUCUGGGUGCCCCCAGUGGCCGAGUUGUGGUUCGAAGUAGGGAAGAAACCCACAGAGCAGCUGCCAUGCGCUCUGGACUGCAAAGGCUCUUUGGGUAUCUUGAAGUGGGUCACGGAGGGUCUCCCUUCAUCCUGGCAGGAGGAUUUCCAUUUUCUGUCCCCGUUCUGGAAACUCCAAGGCUGCAAACCUGUGAAGUCCCAGAUUUUCAGAUCUGCGAAUGUUUCAAUGAAGUCUACACAGGCACAUUAACAUGGGUUGGGAACCAUAAUCUAGAGCUUCCAUACGUAUGACAUGAAUUAACGUCAUUGUACUGAAUCAUAAAUCUAAGUGUUUGUAGGCGUUCCACAUCAGGGGCAAUGGGAUAAAAAUAGGCUAAAAUUUGGGGAAGACUGAACAGUCCCUUUGGCAAACGCAGCUUGAACUAGAAGAUAACGGUCAGGCUUUCAGCUUUGGUGAUGCUCAGCAGUGCUCCCUCCUCCACCCCGGUGGGCCGACCUAGGGACAGUGGGGGGCCACCUGCUCUGUGCAUCACCACCUCUCCAUGGAUACACGCCAUUGUUGGGGACUGCCAGCUCCCUAGGACACUCACUGCAGCCUGUCACCUAGGUCUCGAGUCACUGCCUGUUCCAGGGUCCAGAAAUGGAAGCAGAAGACAGAUUCUCUCCUGCUGCACAGGCUUGGCUGCUUUCAAAGCGAGGGCUUCGGAGUUAGUCUGACUGGGCUUUGCCGGUGGUAGUACCGCUGAUGAUUUUUCGCUGGCUUUCAGAUCAGCUACGCAGGAACAUGGAGAGGACUUGGUGGCGAUCUGGGAGCACCCGAAUGAGGGAAAUCAAGGCUCUGCAGUUGUCAUUAUGGGUUUUGUAAAGAAGUGGGGAAUUCUUUUAGUGGAAUUGUCAGCUGUGAGAGAUUAGAGACUAAGCCUAGGGUUUUUUUUUUUUACUUAAAAGACUUUGGCAGACUGGUGUGGGGUGACAAAUCUGCAAAUCUCUGAGUAAACUUGGUUCCCCUGUUAACAACAGAAAUUUAGAAGCUGUUUCCCUCUGAUAUAGCAUCAGGAGAGUGGGCAGCACCAGCAGAUGAGCCCAGACCUUGUCCCACCUUGGCAGGCUGGCUGCAGCUUCCUCAUACUGACCGCUCCCUCCUCACCCCCGUGACCUUCAGCGGGUGGCUCGCUGGCACUGGAGCUGCCUUGCCCGUGUGGUGGACCAGGAGUGCCAGGGAGUUCACCCCGCCGUCCCUUCCUGGGUGGAGGGGUCCGUUGGUGGGGCCCCUCCCCAUUCAUAUGUUAAGACCCUAGUUCCCCCUCGAAGCUGUAUUUGAAGACGGGACCUUUGGGAGGUACAUUUAAAUGAAGCGUGAGGGUGGGGACUGAUCUGUCAGGGUUAGAAGAGACACCGGGACGGGGCAGUGUGCUGGCCUGCAGUCCUGGGUCCUCAGGAGGCUGAGGCAGGAGAGUCGCUGGGGCCAGGGGUCCGAGGUCAACAUAGCAAGGCCUUGUCUCCAGGAGAAAAAAAAGUUACCCAGAACUCGUGUUCCCCUCUCCAUGUGAAUGCCCCGAGGGAAGGGCCGGGGGACACCGUGAAGGCAGGUCUCUGACCCCAGGGAACAGCCCUUACCACAACCAGCCUCCAGGCGUGUAAGGAAACGUUCUGUUAUCUAAACCACCCAGCCUGUUAUUCUGGUAUGGCAGCCUGAGCAACGUCAGGCCCCAAAGCCAGUACGUCGCCUGUGGCGUGGGAAUCGUUUAUGCCUCGGGCCCCAGAUGGACCUGUGUGUUUGGGACUUCACUGGCCAUUGCAUCCUGGCCCACGCCUUCCCUUCCACUGCCCUGCUGCCUUCACCGCUUGACUCUUGCUCAGGACUGCUUCUUAACAGACCACUUGCCUCCAAAUCCUUGCCUCAGGGACUGAUUCUGGGAGAAUCUGACUUAAGAAGAUCAAGGAUGCAGAACUUGGCCAACGAUGAGCUUGGUACUGGGACACAGAAAGUGCCAGAACUCUGGUGGUUUCUGUUAACAGUCGUUCUGAAUCUGCUUGGGUGUUAGUUAGAUCAGGUCAGGUCAGCUGCUGCAACAGGCAAGACCUGGAGUCUCUGGCGGAGGUGGGAAGUUGGAGAUGGGCUGUGAAACCCCAUUUCACUGUUGGAGCACAUGGUUUCCAGGCUUUGGGGGCAGGUGGAAAAGAACAGGGGGAAGCCCGCCUCUUUCCUCCCUCAGCUCAGAGUGGUGUGCACCAUUUCUGCUCACAGGCCAUCUGCUAAAACUAAUCCCACAACUCGAAUCACAUUGCAAGGGAUGCGGGGAAUGUAGAGCCCAUGGGACAUCUGAGAGCGGUGGUCUGUGCCUUCGGUAGGGUUGCACCUCCUACCAGAGGAAAAUGCAUGUGGCCCAAGCUGAUCUGGAAACUCUUAAGAAGGCGUCGUUAACACGGCUGCCAUCUGUAUCUGUGGGCUCUGCAUCUGUGGCUUCAAGUGACUGCAGAGGGAAAAUACUCAGAAAAGAUUCCGUCCCUACUGAACAUGCACAGAUUUUUUUCUUUGCAUCAGUAUCUCCUAAAGAAGGCAGUGUAGCAACAUUUAUAUCGCAUUUACACUUGCAUUAUGUUCUAUAAGUAAUCCAGAGAGGAUCUGAAUAUAUGGGCGGCCACAGGCCUUGCACGAAGACGGUGCCACUUCAUGCAAGAGACUUGAGCUGGAUCUGGGUGUCCGCAGGAGCGCCUGGAACCAGUCCUGCCUGGGGGCUGGGGACGAUGUGUCCUCGCUGAGUUUUAGGUUGUCUUUCAUUACAGAGAAAUAAUUAGUAACAGAAAACGUCUUCUUACUCUUUCAAGAAAAAUUUAUAAACACUUCCAAAUUUUUGAAAAUUCGCUAAUAAAAA
Molecule: RNA transcript, 4437 nt
Organism: Sciurus carolinensis (gray squirrel)
Lineage: Eukaryota; Metazoa; Chordata; Mammalia; Rodentia; Sciuridae
Gene: Wdr83
Gene name: WD repeat domain 83
Exons: 10
Source: RefSeq, a predicted model, not a curated record